CCUACGGGAGGCAGCAGUGAGGGAUAUUGGUCAAUGGGGGAAACCCUGAACCAGCAACGCCGCGUGCGGGAAGACGGUUUUCGGAUUGUAAACCUCUGUCCUCUGUGAAGAUAAUGACGGUAGCAGAGGAGGAAGCUACGGCUAACUACGGGCCAGCAGCCGUGGUAAUACGUAGGGAGCAAGCGUUGUCCGGAUUUACUGGGUGUAAAGGGUGCGUAGGCGGCUUUGCAAGGCAGAAGUGAAAUCCAUGGGCUUAACCGAUGAACUGCUUUUGAAACUGCAGAGCUUGAGUGGGGUAGAGGUAGGCGGAAUUCGCGGUGGAGCGGUGAAAUGCGUAGAGAUCGGGAGGAACACCAGUGGCGAAGGCAGCCUACUGGGGUCUAACUGACGCUGAGGCACGAAAGCGUGGGUAGCAAACAGGAUUAGAUACCCUAGUAGUC
RNAcentral lists this ribosomal RNA (440 nucleotides) under uncultured bacterium. RNAcentral's name for it is "partial 16S ribosomal RNA". It matches the Rfam family "Bacterial small subunit ribosomal RNA", at positions 338 to 795 of the family's 1533-position model. The record is from RNAcentral.